Transfer RNA from Ovis aries (sheep), 74 nucleotides. It matches the Rfam family "tRNA". From Rfam's summary of the family: Transfer RNA (tRNA) molecules are approximately 80 nucleotides in length. The record is from Rfam. Lineage: Eukaryota; Metazoa; Chordata; Mammalia; Artiodactyla; Bovidae.
UCCCUGGUGGCUCAGAGGUUAAAAAGCGUUUGUCUGCAAGGCGGAAGACCCAGGUUCAAUCCCUGGGUUGGGAA